Molecule: ribosomal RNA, 2884 nt
Filed under: human gut metagenome
Description: bacterial LSU rRNA
Rfam family: Bacterial large subunit ribosomal RNA
Source: RNAcentral
AGCGUACACGGUGGAUGCCCUGGCAGUCAGAGGCGAUGAAGGACGUGCUAAUCUGCGAUAAGCGUCGGUAAGGUGAUAUGAACCGUUAUAACCGGCGAUUUCCGAAUGGGGAAACCCAGUGUGAUUCGUCACACUAUCAUUAACUGAAUCCAUAGGUUAAUGAGGCGAACCGGGGGAACUGAAACAUCUAAGUACCCCGAGGAAAAGAAAUCAACCGAGAUUCCCCCAGUAGCGGCGAGCGAACGGGGAGCAGCCCAGAGCCUGAAUCAGUGUGUGUGUUAGUGGAAGCGUCUGGAAAGGCGCGCGAUACAGGGUGACAGCCCCGUACACAAAAAUGCACAUGCUGUGAGCUCGAUGAGUAGGGCGGGACACGUGGUAUCCUGUCUGAAUAUGGGGGGACCAUCCUCCAAGGCUAAAUACUCCUGACUGACCGAUAGUGAACCAGUACCGUGAGGGAAAGGCGAAAAGAACCCCGGCGAGGGGAGUGAAAAAGAACCUGAAACCGUGUACGUACAAGCAGUGGGAGCACGCUUAGGCGUGUGACUGCGUACCUUUUGUAUAAUGGGUCAGCGACUUAUAUUCUGUAGCAAGGUUAACCGAAUAGGGGAGCCGAAGGGAAACCGAGUCUUAACUGGGCGUUAAGUUGCAGGGUAUAGACCCGAAACCCGGUGAUCUAGCCAUGGGCAGGUUGAAGGUUGGGUAACACUAACUGGAGGACCGAACCGACUAAUGUUGAAAAAUUAGCGGAUGACUUGUGGCUGGGGGUGAAAGGCCAAUCAAACCGGGAGAUAGCUGGUUCUCCCCGAAAGCUAUUUAGGUAGCGCCUCGUGAAUUCAUCUCCGGGGGUAGAGCACUGUUUCGGCAAGGGGGUCAUCCCGACUUACCAACCCGAUGCAAACUGCGAAUACCGGAGAAUGUUAUCACGGGAGACACACGGCGGGUGCUAACGUCCGUCGUGAAGAGGGAAACAACCCAGACCGCCAGCUAAGGUCCCAAAGUCAUGGUUAAGUGGGAAACGAUGUGGGAAGGCCCAGACAGCCAGGAUGUUGGCUUAGAAGCAGCCAUCAUUUAAAGAAAGCGUAAUAGCUCACUGGUCGAGUCGGCCUGCGCGGAAGAUGUAACGGGGCUAAACCAUGCACCGAAGCUGCGGCAGCGACGCUUAUGCGUUGUUGGGUAGGGGAGCGUUCUGUAAGCCUGUGAAGGUGUACUGUGAGGUAUGCUGGAGGUAUCAGAAGUGCGAAUGCUGACAUAAGUAACGAUAAAGCGGGUGAAAAGCCCGCUCGCCGGAAGACCAAGGGUUCCUGUCCAACGUUAAUCGGGGCAGGGUGAGUCGACCCCUAAGGCGAGGCCGAAAGGCGUAGUCGAUGGGAAACAGGUUAAUAUUCCUGUACUUGGUGUUACUGCGAAGGGGGGACGGAGAAGGCUAUGUUGGCCGGGCGACGGUUGUCCCGGUUUAAGCGUGUAGGCUGGUUUUCCAGGCAAAUCCGGAAAAUCAAGGCUGAGGCGUGAUGACGAGGCACUACGGUGCUGAAGCAACAAAUGCCCUGCUUCCAGGAAAAGCCUCUAAGCAUCAGGUAACAUCAAAUCGUACCCCAAACCGACACAGGUGGUCAGGUAGAGAAUACCAAGGCGCUUGAGAGAACUCGGGUGAAGGAACUAGGCAAAAUGGUGCCGUAACUUCGGGAGAAGGCACGCUGAUAUGUAGGUGAAGUCCCUCGCGGAUGGAGCUGAAAUCAGUCGAAGAUACCAGCUGGCUGCAACUGUUUAUUAAAAACACAGCACUGUGCAAACACGAAAGUGGACGUAUACGGUGUGACGCCUGCCCGGUGCCGGAAGGUUAAUUGAUGGGGUUAGCGCAAGCGAAGCUCUUGAUCGAAGCCCCGGUAAACGGCGGCCGUAACUAUAACGGUCCUAAGGUAGCGAAAUUCCUUGUCGGGUAAGUUCCGACCUGCACGAAUGGCGUAAUGAUGGCCAGGCUGUCUCCACCCGAGACUCAGUGAAAUUGAACUCGCUGUGAAGAUGCAGUGUACCCGCGGCAAGACGGAAAGACCCCGUGAACCUUUACUAUAGCUUGACACUGAACAUUGAGCCUUGAUGUGUAGGAUAGGUGGGAGGCUUUGAAGUGUGGACGCCAGUCUGCAUGGAGCCGACCUUGAAAUACCACCCUUUAAUGUUUGAUGUUCUAACGUUGACCCGUAAUCCGGGUUGCGGACAGUGUCUGGUGGGUAGUUUGACUGGGGCGGUCGCCUCCCAAAAUGUAACGGAGGCAUGCAAAGGUUCCCUCAGGCUGAUUGGAAACCAGCCGUCGAGUGCAAACGCAAAAGGGAGCUUGACUGCAAGAGAGACAUCUCGAGCAGGUACGAAAGUAGGUGUUAGUGAUCCGGUGAUCCCGAAUGGAAGGGUCAUCGCUCAUUGGAUAAAAGGUACGCCGGGGAUAACAGGCUGAUCGCAUCCAAGAGUUCACAUCGACGAUGCGGUUUGGCACCUCGAUGUCGGCUCAUCACAUCCUGGGGCUGAAGCAGGUCCCAAGGGUACGGCUGUUCGCCGUUUAAAGUGGUACGCGAGCUGGGUUUAAAACGUCGUGAGACAGUUUGGUCCCUAUCUUCUGUGGGCGUAGGAGAAUUGAAAGGGCCUGUCCCUAGUACGAGAGGACCGGGAUGGACACACCACUGGUGGACCUGUUGUCGUGCCAACGGCACAGCAGGGUAGCUAUGUGUGGAAGGGAUAACCGCUGAAAGCAUCUAAGCGGGAAGCCUGCCUUAAGAUAAGUUCUCCCUGACGCAAGUCCUGAAGGGCCGAGGUAGACGACCUCGUUGAUAGGCUGGAGGUGGAAGCCCUGUGAGGGGUGGAGCUGACCAGUACUAAUAGCCCGUGCGUCUUGUUU